AAUCUUAUAUUCAAUAUAUAUGAUUUUAAAUUGCAAAUUUAAAGGUAUUAAUUUUUUAAUUAAGAUUU
RNAcentral lists this transfer RNA (68 nucleotides) under Periphyllus acerihabitans. RNAcentral's name for it is "tRNA-Cys". Lineage: Eukaryota; Metazoa; Arthropoda; Insecta; Hemiptera; Aphididae. The record is from RNAcentral.